GUGCUCAAUUCAAUAGUACAUUUACUAAAGUUGGAACAAUACAUAGAAUAUUAGCAUGGCUCCUACACAAGGACAACUUGUAAAUUUGUGAAGCAUUUCAUGAAAAG
This is a small nuclear RNA of Myotis lucifugus (little brown bat), 107 nucleotides long. Lineage: Eukaryota; Metazoa; Chordata; Mammalia; Chiroptera; Vespertilionidae. The record is from Ensembl.